AAUGGCACCUGCAUCAGUGAUACCGCGUGAGUGAAGAAGGCCUCCGGGUUGUAAAGCUCUUUCGCAAGGGAAGAAACGAUACAGUCUAAUAAACUGUGUUAAUGACGGUACCUUGAUAAGAAGCACCGGCUAACUACGUGCCAGCAGCCGCGGUAAUACGUAGGGUGCGAGCGUUAAUCGGAAUUACUGGGCGUAAAGCGUGCGCAGGCGGUUUUGAAAGUCAGAUGUGAAAUCCCCGGGCUCAACCUGGGAACUGCGUUUGAAACUCCAAAGCUAGAGUAUGGGAGAGGGGGGUAGAAUUCCACGUGUAGCAGUGAAAUGCGUAGAGAUGUGGCGGCAUACCAAUGGCGAACGCAGCCCCCUGGCUUACAUACUGACGCUCAUGCACGACAGCGUGGGGAGCCAACACGCUCAGAUACCCUGGUAGUCCACGCCCUAAACCGAUGUCUACUCAGUUGUUGGGACGAGUACCAUCUCUUCAGU
RNAcentral lists this ribosomal RNA (483 nucleotides) under uncultured archaeon. RNAcentral's name for it is "bacterial SSU rRNA". It matches the Rfam family "Bacterial small subunit ribosomal RNA", at positions 370 to 847 of the family's 1533-position model. The record is from RNAcentral.